RNA transcript from Oncorhynchus kisutch (coho salmon), 5508 nucleotides. RefSeq lists it as uncharacterized. The record is from RefSeq and is a predicted model, not a curated record. NCBI's taxonomy places the organism in Eukaryota, Metazoa, Chordata, Actinopteri, Salmoniformes, Salmonidae. The transcript has 5 exons.
AUGAAACUGACAUUUCAUACUAUUAUCCAGCAGGAAUUUUGCACUAGAGCUUCCAGGAUCCAGUGGCGCACAGCCGCGAUCACUAAGUGGUUGGGUUCUGUCCUGGGCCAGUGUACCUCCCCUGACCUCUCGGUGUGGUCCUCUCACAUCACAGGCAGAGGGGGCAGGAGUGUUCCAGCAACUCCCCUGGCACCACCAGCAGGUUCGCACAGGGAAGCGGGGCACAGAGUACCAGCCCAAGAAUAUAAAGCGGAAGCGGACCCACGGCUGGAUCAAGAGGAUCAGCACGCAGGGUGGCAUCGAGGUGAUUCUCCGUAGGAUGCUAAAAGGACGGAAAUCCCUCUCACACUAACCACCCAAUGGACUAUUUUGUCAGUAAACGUAUCGAAGUUGUGGUGCAAAGUUGCCCAGGUUUUACUACCAUGUGGAAGAUGCCCCAAAAAAUAGGCACGAAACAUGGCAAAGCCUUCCAAUUAUGUAAGCAACACCAUGCACAUUUACAAUAAAACAUUCCAAACAGUCCCUUUACAAGUAAGAAUGUUGAAUAAACUUAAUUGAACUUACUCUGUUGAUUGUCUGUUGUGUUGUUAGAAAUUUUAGACAAAAUAUCCACAGGAAAGUCUUAUUAACCUGACUUCGAAACGUCAGUCUCUGUGUGUAGCAAUCAAGAUUUGUUUGCUCAUGACCAAAGGCACAUGCACAAGAUGGAAGUACAUGCACGUGAUGCAUGCAUGUAACCAACGUCUGCAGGUGUUGACAUGGUUUUUCGCAUAUUCCAGGAGAUAUAAAUUUCAACGGCAGUACCUGCGCUCUAAAAAGUGGGGUAAACAACACUUUCCUAUGUAUAUUUUGUCAAAAAUGUUGAGUGGCUGAAGCACCAACCACACAGACAACCAGUAGAGUAAAUUCAGAUGUCAUUUUAUUCAACAUUCUGGCUUGUAAAGAAAACGUGAUGAUUUCACAUAAAAGUCUGAUUUAUUAGGCAAUCUAAGAACCUGCAGACUUGUUGGUACAGUUUUGUGUAGAGCUUGAUGUCUGAGUUAUUGGAUAUGUGAAGGCAGCAGUGGCGGUCAGUGCUAUUUAAGAUGAGGGAGGAAGCAAAUAAUUUAUGAGCGUGGCCUUAUUUCUAUUACUCCAUGUUGAAUGACUCAUUCAUAUUCCAUUCACCCAGUUCAGUGUAACAGCGAUAGCUUUAGGCUAAACAUCAUGAGGUUGCACAAUCUAGCCUAUGAAUGAAAGUUUACAAUGUAGGUGCACACAGAUCGAGAGAAAAAUUUGACGUGACAGUGACACACCUUGCACACUCUUGCCUGCAUCUAGCUGAUAUAGGGUGUAGUCAUUAGUCCAACAGUUGCAAACGAGUUUCUAAUGAACAAAUUCAGUUAUGUUUAUCCCCUUUCCGCUUUUCAACAGAAUCGGCGGAAUAAAUACACAACCUGAUCAAGCGUAAACACAGUUCACUUUCAUAGCAGCCACGUUGUAUUCCUUCUCUCAUCUAUACACUCUCCUCUCACCUUUUCCCUUCACAUCAGCUGAAAAAAACCUUUCCAAGCCAAACCAUAUAACCACUACACACAGCCUACAUCUUUGUCACCAUAUUAGCUAAAGUAACGUCAUAGUCAAAAUAGCUAAUAGAACUAACACGUUAGUAAACCUGCUACAAUCAUUCAGUAACGUUACAGUGUAACGGGAAAAGUGUGACGGGAAAAGGUAAGCAGUCUAGCACUUACACUGGUGGGCCAUGGUGGCAAUAAAUUAGUCAAACCAAAAGCUUACCAUGACUUGGAAGAGUUGUGUUGGAUAGUCAUAGCCAGCUAGCUAACGUAGCAUCCCACUGUUUGAGUAGGCUAAACUAGCUAGCAGCAUUUUCUAGCUAAGUAAGUGAAAUUGAAAGUGAGAAAAAAAAUUGACAAUCUCUCUUGCUUCUUCAUUUUGGAAGAAAUACAUUGUUCAAAACAGUUUUAACUAUUGUCUUUCUCUGUCUUUGAGUCAACUACUCACCAUGUUAUGCACUGCAGUGCUAGCUAGCUGUAGCCUAUGAUUUCAGUGCUAGAUGUAUUCCCUGAUCCUUUGAUUGGGUGAACAACAUGUCAGUUCAUGCUGCAAGAGCUCUGAUAGGUUGGAGGAUGUCCUCCGGAGGUUGUCAUAAUUACUGUGUAAGUCUAUGGAAAGGGGUGAGAACCAUGAGCCUCGUAGGUUUUGUAUUGAAGUCAGUGUACCCAGAGGAAGAUGGAAGCUAGCUGUCCUCCGGCUAGACCGUGGUGCUAUCCUACAGAUUGUUGUUGAGGCUACUGUAGACCUUCAUUGCGAAACAGUAUGUUUUAAUAAAUUAUUUGGUGAUGUGAAAAUAUUUAGUAUUUUAUCUAAAAAGCAUAACUUUUUAUAUGUUUUACAGUUUUUAUUUUAAUGAAAUUCACUGAGGAGGAUGGUCCUCCCUUCAUCCUAUGAGUAGCCUCUACUGGAAGGAAGAUGAAUUUGCAGAUGUAUUUGACCAUGAAAUGGAUUCUCAAUGUCUUUCUCAUCUAUUUCAGACUCAAUCUUGGAAAGGCUCGGUAGGUUGGUGCAGUAAGUCAAUUUAGCUUAAAUGGCAUAGGGAAUCAACUGUGACAAAAGUAGUUUUACGUAUGCACCUGUCAACAUGCAGUGGUGCGGUUGAACUAGUUCCUGAAUUUGAAUAUUGGACUUUUAAUAUGUAAGUGGUGGGAUAUAAGCAUCUGUGCUGCUUGUGUAAGCUAUUUAGUUGCUGCGAAAAUAAACACAUCUUCGGACCUUCAUACCAUGCUGAUACACAGUUGUCAUUCAAGUUUGUGUGUUGCUCAAAAAAAAGCACUGUGUUUCAGGGGGGGAAUAACCAUUUUUAUUAGCAUGAGUGAGUGUUGUUGGUUGAAAUCAGUAGGGUUGGAGAUGAUGGAAGAUCAGAAAACCAUGGUUAACAUAUUUUAUAUCUCAAUGUCUGUGUUAAUAUCUCCUUGUGAAAAUAAUUUCACAAACUUUGAUACUGAAUAACAAGGAAUUUGUGUGCCAUGGCUAGCUACUGCUUAUCACUGCCUCUCCGCCAUCAAAUCACGUGACGGGAUCUGGAGCCCCUCUUCCUAUUGGCGUGCUGGUUUCUCGUGUAAAAACUAGUGACCCAGUGAGCAUUGUUCUUUUACGACGGUCUAUCCUCUCCUGUAGCCAAUGGAGCACCAGUCAAGAAGAAGAGGAACGCCCAUACACGGACGAGCAACAAAUAUGGAGCAGAGUUUUUAAAAGGACUACCUGUCUACAACAAAAGCAAUUUCAGCAGAUUUCAUGCAGACUCUGUCUGCAAAGCGUCAAACCGGAGGCCCUCUGUGUAUCUCCCAACACGGGAGUAUCCAUCAGAACAGAUCAUUGUCACAGAGAAGACAAAUAUCCUAUUGAGAUAUCUUCACCAACAGUGGGACAAAAAGAAUGCGGCCAAAAAGCGGGAGCAGGAGCAAGCGGAGGGAGAGAACACUGCACCCCCGCGGAAAAUUGCCAGAACCGACAGUCGGGAAUUAAAUGAGGACUCAUAGAGUGCUGUACACACACAGAACUACAGAUAAAGAAGCACACAGGCAAAGUUGCAUUUGACAGACAGGACAUACCACUUCCUACAUCGUACAACAUGAUCUUGGGAUGUUGACAGUUUUGUCUUUUGUAUUUUAUUUACUUUAGCAUUUUUUUCUUUUUCCUUAACUGUCCUUUUUUAAGUCUUCGAUUGGCACAUAGCUGAAAAGCUCUGUCUUCAUAACAAUAACAUUACCUCCUCCACCCUAGGACUCAUAUUUAAUUGUUGCUUGACCAUGUUUUUACAUGAGGAGCAUUUUCAGUGCCCUUGUUUGCUUUCAUUAGUUUACUUGUACUAUAUGUGUAUUUUGACCUGCAUGAUUUACAGUCAUGUCCAUUUAAUCAAUUAGGUUCUAUACCAUUUUAUGUACAUCCUUCUGGGCUUGGAGUAAAUAGAAUAUUGUCUCCACAGUAAAUAGAAUAUUGUCUCCACAGCCUCUUAUUUUAGUUUGUGAUAAAUAUGAUGACGGCGGUAUACCAUAACACUGAAGGAUGCUUGUGACAUCCCCAACAAUUAUUACAGUUACUGAAAAGGGAAGACUGUGUAUAGACUUAAGAUUGAAUUCGUCUCAGGUUGUUAUGGGGAAUGCUGCCUCAGAAGGCUGCAUUCCUGAAAGUUUUGACUUCUCCUAGUUUGAGUGAUUGAAUUGCCUUAAUGGAAACAUUUCUUGAUCAAUUAGGGACCCUCCCUCUGUUUACAUUGUGACAACAGUGGAGGAAAUGCACACACACUGUUGAGUUAACGAGGGGAUUAAAUGGUGUGAAUAUGGAGGAUGCUCCCACAGGUUCAUAUUGGGGCAAACCCUUUGACAGUAUAAAAACAGACCAAUUUUGCAGCAACACACGAUGCUCGAUGUUUGUCAAUGUGCAUAAACGUUGUUUCCCCGUAGACGUGCUACAAUCUACCACUAGCAGCUAGAUUGUCGUCACAUCUAGAAAAGUUAUCUUGAUGCAGAUAAGUGUCUGGAUAGUAUAGGGAAGUGGACUUACCUGACUGUUAACAUGGCAUGGCUCCACAAGUAAAAGCAUAGCUGCUGAGUUGCAACUUAGCUCAAUCAAUCUGUGUGAACCUAUAGGAUACGCCUUGCUAAAAGGACUUAAGUCAAUAUGUGAGGUAAAUGUGCCAUUCAGGUGUAUAGAAUCUUGUCUCAAAAGUAACCAGCUGAUGUUAAACUUUUAAUGUGGGGCAUAGUUUGACAAAUGUAAAUACUAAAAUGGGGCGUAUUGUUCCUGAUAUGCUCUCUAUAUCCCUCUGUUGCUAUUUACAAUGAUCUGGUAGUGUAGUUGUGAAUCCUGUCAAACUAUGGGCUGUGUAUACAUGGUUUGUUUCCUUAGACCAUUAUCAGGUAAUAGUUUAAGGACUCGCAGUGUCCAGAACCUUUCGAUCAUUAGAUAAUCAUAUCUUACCUGAAACAGUCACACUUAAUUCUUGUUUGAAAGCAUGUACAGUAUAAACUCUGCAGGCCAUAUGUUUUAGGUGGCGUCGGCUCAUCUUGUUUGAGGUGAUCUUGAGGCUGGCUGAUGAUCAGCUACCAUUAUGUUCCUUGGUGAUGCUAGCUGUCUACAUGUGUUCAUGUUGAGAAUUCUUUCCACAGGUAGAAAAGUGUUGUUUUUUAUUUAUUUAUUUUUUGAUAAAGUAAGUUAACCUUAAUAGACAUUGUGCUCUGAUUUAAACUGUGUGGAUGUGGGGCCUGGCACAUUCACACAGUUAAAAUCACAGCACACAAUGUCUAUUAAGGUCAUCACGCUGUUUACUAUUGAGAAUUGAACGAAGGAGUGCUUCAUCUUACUGUAUAAAAAAAACUAACACAUUCAACAUUAACACGUAGACAGCUCGCACCACCAAGGAACAGAAUGGUAGCUGAUCGUCAGCUAGACUGAAUUCAUAAGGAAAUGACCCUCUGAAAAUAUGUUCUCAAUAAAGUUACCUGGGUAUUA